RNAcentral lists this ribosomal RNA (253 nucleotides) under uncultured bacterium. RNAcentral describes it as "partial 16S ribosomal RNA". It matches the Rfam family "Bacterial small subunit ribosomal RNA", at positions 524 to 776 of the family's 1533-position model. The record is from RNAcentral.
UACGUAGGGGGCAAGCGUUAUCCGGAUUUACUGGGUGUAAAGGGAGCGUAGACGGCCAGACAAGUCUGAAGUGAAAAUCCAGCGCUUAACGUUGGAGGUGCUUUGGAAACUGCCGGGCUGGAGUGCAGGAGGGGCAGGCGGAAUUCCUAGUGUAGCGGUGAAAUGCGUAGAUAUUAGGAGGAACACCAGUGGCGAAGGCGGCCUGCUGGACUGCAACUGACGUUGAGGCUCGAAGGCGUGGGGAGCAAACAGG